This 120-nucleotide small nucleolar RNA is filed under the name Echinops telfairi (small Madagascar hedgehog). RNAcentral describes it as "Small nucleolar RNA SNORA61 (ENSETEG00000025612.1)". Lineage: Eukaryota; Metazoa; Chordata; Mammalia; Afrosoricida; Tenrecidae. The record is from RNAcentral.
ACCCUCCAGCCCACCUUCCCAUCAGAUCUACACAUGGGUCUGAGUGGAGAUAAAGUAGAUAGCAUAAAGCUGAAGCAGACAUAGAUUCUUCUGUGAUGUACAAUUUGGUUUCAAACAAGC